Molecule: transfer RNA, 73 nt
Filed under: Pteropus alecto (black flying fox)
Lineage: Eukaryota; Metazoa; Chordata; Mammalia; Chiroptera; Pteropodidae
Rfam family: tRNA
About the family: Transfer RNA (tRNA) molecules are approximately 80 nucleotides in length.
Source: Rfam by way of RNAcentral
GGCUCCAUUGUGUAGCGGUUAGCAAAUCUGCUUUACAUGCAGAAGGUCCUGGGUUCGUGCCCCAGUGGAGCCA